UGUUUCGGCUAGGGGGCCAUCCCGGCUUACCAACCCGAUGCAAACUGCGAAUACCGGAGAAUGUUAUCACGGGAGACACACGGCGGGUGCUAACGUCCGUCGUGAAGAGGGAAACAACCCAGACCGCCAGCUAAGGUCCCAAAGUCAUGGUUAAGUGGGAAACGAUGUGGGAAGGCCCAGACAGCCAGGAUGUUGGCUUAGAAGCAGCCAUCAUUUAAAGAAAGCGUAAUAGCUCACUGGUCGAGUCGGCCUGCGCGGAAGAUGUAACGGGGCUAAACCAUGCACCGAAGCUGCGGCAGCGACACUGUGUGUUGUUGGGUAGGGGAGCGUUC
RNAcentral lists this ribosomal RNA (332 nucleotides) under Salmonella enterica subsp. enterica serovar Mbandaka. RNAcentral's name for it is "partial 23S ribosomal RNA". It matches the Rfam family "Bacterial large subunit ribosomal RNA", at positions 911 to 1241 of the family's 2925-position model. Lineage: Bacteria; Pseudomonadati; Pseudomonadota; Gammaproteobacteria; Enterobacterales; Enterobacteriaceae. The record is from RNAcentral.